Papaver somniferum (opium poppy) is the source of this 887-nucleotide long non-coding RNA. RefSeq lists it as uncharacterized. The record is from RefSeq and is a predicted model, not a curated record. The transcript has 3 exons. NCBI's taxonomy places the organism in Eukaryota, Viridiplantae, Streptophyta, Magnoliopsida, Ranunculales, Papaveraceae.
UCCUCUCUCUCUCGUUCUCCCCGUAAAUUUUCUAUCUGUCUACCACCAUCACCAUCUUUAUCAUCAACAUCAAAACCAAACCCUUAUUGUCGUCGUCGAGGAAGAAAGAAGUUUCUUUGUAAACACACUUGGAGAACUCUUUCCUUGGGUUCAAGUAAUUUGGGGUUUUUCUCUUCAUACUCCCAAGAAGUUCCCGAAGAAGUAUAAUGAAAAGAAUAACACCUGAACUGCAUGAGAAGGAACAUUGUGAGACUGAAUCUUGGGUUUCAACGUCUUGCACUUUAAUUUAUCCACAGGAUUUGAAUCAAGUACUUGUCUUCUAUCCAGCUGUAAACACAAGCAAUUGGAGAUCCAAAAGCAGCACCGUGAAGGGUACCCAAGGAGGACUGGCAAGUCGGCAGAAGUCCGCAGGAAACAAGCCUGUUGAUUAUACUCUUUCAUCCUCCCCAGCUGCCUAGUCCUCACUGAAAGAGAGCAUCCUCCCCGGCUGCCCAGUGCUCACUGAAAGAGAGGAGGGAUGCCAAGCAUUCGGGUGUGGCUAUUGCUAUCUAUUUGGGAUCCUUGCAUUUUCACGUUUUGGUGCUCAUUUGAUUGCAUAGGCUAUGGACUUCAGGGAUUGGUGUGGGAACGAGGUGUUUAGGCUUAUCGGCUCAACAUGUACAUUUGAUAUUUUAACAUCACAAGAAUUAAGACAUGAAAUUUCUUUUAUUACUAAUAAUGUUAUUAUUAGUAAUUUUAUUAUCCUUUCUCUUGAACAUGAAUUUGUUUGAAGUGACUCUUUCGAAAAAAUGAAAUAAUUGCAGUACCCUUCCUUUGUUGGACACGAGUAUCUAUCUUGUAGACGAUAUUAGCCGGGGCAUAAACUAUCAAUUAUAGUUUUGUUGUAA